RNAcentral lists this ribosomal RNA (253 nucleotides) under uncultured bacterium. RNAcentral's name for it is "partial 16S ribosomal RNA". It matches the Rfam family "Bacterial small subunit ribosomal RNA", at positions 524 to 776 of the family's 1533-position model. The record is from RNAcentral.
UACGUAGGGUCCGAGCGUUGUCCGGAAUUAUUGGGCGUAAAGGGCUCGUAGGCGGUUGGUCACGUCGGGAGUGAAAACUCAGGGCUCAACCCUGAGCGUGCUUCCGAUACGGGCCGACUAGAGGUAUGCAGGGGAGAACGGAAUUCCUGGUGUAGCGGUGAAAUGCGCAGAUAUCAGGAGGAACACCGGUGGCGAAGGCGGGUCUCUGGGCAGUAACUGACGCUGAGGAGCGAAAGCGUGGGGAGCGAACAGG